GCCGCGGUCGCAUAAUCCGGUAUUGCGAGGGAUUGCUAAUCCCUUUUCCGAAAGGAUAUGUGGGUUCAAAUCCCACCCGCGGCG
Molecule: transfer RNA, 84 nt
Filed under: Nanobdellota archaeon
Lineage: Archaea; Nanobdellati; Nanobdellota
Description: tRNA-Ser
Rfam family: tRNA
About the family: Transfer RNA (tRNA) molecules are approximately 80 nucleotides in length. Their secondary structure includes four short double-helical elements and three loops (D, anti-codon, and T loops). Further hydrogen bonds mediate the characteristic L-shaped molecular structure. tRNAs have two regions of fundamental functional importance: the anti-codon, which is responsible for specific mRNA codon recognition, and the 3' end, to which the tRNAs corresponding amino acid is attached (by aminoacyl-tRNA synthetases). tRNAs cope with the degeneracy of the genetic code in two manners: having more than one tRNA (with a specific anti-codon) for a particular amino acid; and 'wobble' base-pairing, i.e. permitting non-standard base-pairing at the 3rd anti-codon position.
Source: RNAcentral